RNAcentral lists this long non-coding RNA (210 nucleotides) under Gossypium raimondii (Peruvian cotton). Its description in RNAcentral is "long non-coding RNA (GRAI_LNC008449)". The record is from RNAcentral. Lineage: Eukaryota; Viridiplantae; Streptophyta; Magnoliopsida; Malvales; Malvaceae.
GUGGCGUCUCCCACAUUGAGAACAUUCAGGCCUAGGAGGUCGAGUACUGCCUGUACUUGCAACUGUAGUGGUUUGAGCUCUAAAACCCUCGAAUCUUCUACUUCUGCUUCGGCCAGAAUAUAUAUGUGGAAAAUGUGAUCCGCUAGAGAGCUCCCUAGGCCUCUUAGAUGUAGACUGAAAUGAUUUACUCAUUUGCCUCUUCUUUGUAUC